Molecule: long non-coding RNA, 879 nt
Organism: Choloepus didactylus (southern two-toed sloth)
Lineage: Eukaryota; Metazoa; Chordata; Mammalia; Pilosa; Megalonychidae
Exons: 3
Source: RefSeq, a predicted model, not a curated record
AAGCAGUCUUCUUAAAAUGUUCUUGGAUUUCUGCACUUCCAGGAACUACAAGAAACUGAACCUAGAAAAUGUGUGGAAUCAAGGACAAUGAGAUUGCAUUUUAAAAUAUCUACCUCUGACUACAACAACAGCAGCAAAUUGAGCCACAAUAAUUACUGGAAGAAUAAAGGAUAGAAAUUCAGGGCUCUGGAUACUUGGGGAAUUAGGGAGAGAUGAAGUCUACUGCUAAACAUAGAAAAAAAAGACAUGUCUUAGUUCAGGUAAUGGCCAGAGGGUAGGUAACUCAAAUAGAAAACAGAUGUUUCUACUCCCAUGAAGUUAUUCAAGGAGUCAGAUUGUCACCCUCGUGUUGCUCUGCCAUCCCUGGGUGUGUCGCUGAAACUGAGUGGCCGCCAUCCACGGCCUAGGGAACUGGCAAGCAGAGGGAGCCAUUUAUUAUUAAGCAAACGAUGUAGAAGCUACACACCUCAUGUCCAACCACAUUCUAUUGGUUAAACAUAAGGGCUAAUGGGAAAAGUUUAAGAAGCAUAAACUUUGGCUCCAAAUAAGAAAGAUUUACUACAACUCUAAGGACUGCCUUAUGAGGCGGUGUCCUGUUUCUCAAGACCUAUUUCAAAUUAUUCUCCUUCCAUUCAGUGACAAACAAAACUUGAGUGGCAACUCUAUGAAAUAUAUUCAGUUUUGCUGAUGGUUCAAAAAUGAAAAGGUAAACACUAUGAUUUAUGCCCUUAUAGCAGAUACUGGCCAUGCCUUGCCCAUAUGAGAAUGGGCGCUUCUGUCUUAGUGCACACGAUGCUCUUUCCUAUCGCCAAGGGCUUGCUUUCUCUGGCACCUGAGCUCUGAACACCACAUGCUGAAACCACCAGAGAUAUCCUCACA